This 76-nucleotide transfer RNA is filed under the name Allomeiothermus silvanus. Its description in RNAcentral is "tRNA-Thr". It matches the Rfam family "tRNA". Rfam says of the family: Transfer RNA (tRNA) molecules are approximately 80 nucleotides in length. Their secondary structure includes four short double-helical elements and three loops (D, anti-codon, and T loops). The record is from RNAcentral. RNAcentral also lists the same sequence under 15 other names. Lineage: Bacteria; Thermotogati; Deinococcota; Deinococci; Thermales; Thermaceae.
GCCACCCUAGCUCAACUGGUAGAGCACCCGACUUGUAAUCGGAAGGUUGUCGGUUCGAUUCCGAUGGGUGGCUCCA